UUUCCGUAGGUGAACCUGCGGAAGGAUCAUUAAAGAACGCCCCGUUUUUUGAAAUGGGUAAUUCUAAACCGUGUAUACAUACCUUUGUUGCUUUGGCAGGCCGCCCCUCAGGGCGUCGGCUCCGGCUGACUGCGCCUGCCAGAGGACCCCAACUCUUUUGUUUAGUGAUGUCUGAGUACUAUAUAAUAGUUAAAACUUUCAACAACGGAUCUCUUGGUUCUG
RNAcentral lists this unclassified non-coding RNA (222 nucleotides) under plant metagenome. RNAcentral's name for it is "partial contains small subunit ribosomal RNA, internal transcribed spacer 1, and 5.8S ribosomal RNA". The record is from RNAcentral.